UGACAUCCUGUAUUAUCAAGCCUAUUGAA
Molecule: non-coding RNA, 29 nt
Filed under: Rattus norvegicus (Norway rat)
Lineage: Eukaryota; Metazoa; Chordata; Mammalia; Rodentia; Muridae
Source: RNAcentral